UUAAGGUGGGGUGGCAAUACCGUGCAUCUAAUAUAUAUGCAUGGGACAACCAAAAUGAGCUUCCCUCGUGAAAAUGUAGUGGGCACCAUUGCUCCCUUGUCGAUCCUCUCCUCCAUUGGAUUAUACAUAUAUGUUCCCUUUAACUCUCUGAUUAGUCAAUUGAUUCAUUACUCCUUUGCCUUUUAUAUAAUUAAUGAAACCUUAUGCAUCAAACACACUAAUAAUAUCUUAGGAGGGAUCAGAAAGAUGC
RNAcentral lists this long non-coding RNA (250 nucleotides) under Panax ginseng (ginseng). RNAcentral describes it as "long non-coding RNA (PGIN_LNC016196)". The record is from RNAcentral. Lineage: Eukaryota; Viridiplantae; Streptophyta; Magnoliopsida; Apiales; Araliaceae.